UAGCUCAGCUGGAUAGAGUACUCGGCUACGAACCGAGCGGUCGGAGGUUCGAAUCCUCUG
This 60-nucleotide transfer RNA is filed under the name Kosakonia cowanii. Its description in RNAcentral is "tRNA-Arg". It matches the Rfam family "tRNA", at positions 8 to 63 of the family's 71-position model. Rfam says of the family: Transfer RNA (tRNA) molecules are approximately 80 nucleotides in length. Their secondary structure includes four short double-helical elements and three loops (D, anti-codon, and T loops). Lineage: Bacteria; Pseudomonadati; Pseudomonadota; Gammaproteobacteria; Enterobacterales; Enterobacteriaceae. The record is from RNAcentral.